This 301-nucleotide ribosomal RNA is filed under the name uncultured bacterium. Its description in RNAcentral is "partial 16S ribosomal RNA". It matches the Rfam family "Bacterial small subunit ribosomal RNA", at positions 509 to 807 of the family's 1533-position model. The record is from RNAcentral.
CAGUAGCCGCGGGAAUACGUAGGUGGCAAGCGUUGUCCGGAAUUAUUGGGCAUAAAGGGCUCGCGGGCGGUUUCUUAAGUCUGAUGUGAAAGCCCCCGGCUCAACCGGGGAGGGUCAUUGGAAACUGGGAAACUUGAGUGCAGAAGAGGAGAGUGGAAUUCCACGUGUAGCGGUGAAAUGCGUAGAGAUGUGGAGGAACACCAGUGGCGAAGGCGACUCUCUGGUCUGUAACUGACGCUGAGGAGCGAAAGCGUGGGGAGCGAACAGGAUUAGAUACCCCUGUAGUCCCUGUCUCUUAUAC